Molecule: ribosomal RNA, 473 nt
Filed under: uncultured bacterium
Lineage: Bacteria
Description: partial 16S ribosomal RNA
Rfam family: Bacterial small subunit ribosomal RNA
Source: RNAcentral
GACGAACGCUGGCGGCGUGCUUAACACAUGCAAGUCGAACGGAAAGGCCCUUCGGGGUACUCGAGUGGCGAACGGGUGAGUAACACGUGGGUGAUCUGCCUCGUACUCUGGGAUAAGCCUGGGAAACUGGGUCUAAUACUGGAUAGGACCUUCCCUCGCAUGGGGGUUGGUGGAAAGGUUUUCGGUACGAGAUGGGCCCGCGGCCUAUCAGCUUGUUGGUGGGGUAAUGGCCUACCAAGGCGACGACGGGUAGCCGGCCUGAGAGGGCGACCGGCCACACUGGGACUGAGACACGGCCCAGAAUCCUACGGGAGGCAGCAGUGGGGAAUAUUGCACAAUGGGCGCAAGCCUGAUGCAGCGACGCCGCGUGAGGGAUGACGGCCCUCGGGUUGUAAACCUCUUUCACCAGGGGCGAAUUUAGACGGUACCUGGAGAAGAAGCACCGGCCAACUACGUGCCAGCAGCCGCGGUAA